Molecule: long non-coding RNA, 1159 nt
Organism: Homo sapiens (human)
Lineage: Eukaryota; Metazoa; Chordata; Mammalia; Primates; Hominidae
Product: long intergenic non-protein coding RNA 511
Source: Ensembl
UUCUCAGGGCCUUCUGCCAAGGGCCCGCUUUGAUCUCCCUUAAAGGACAGCAUUAUCUGACCAGAGACCCAUGCAGGAGACCUCUCCAGGUACACAUAUUUCCUGCUACUGAAUGGCUUAGACUGGGAUUUGCAAGGAACUACGAAGUCCAAGACCUUUGCCUUUCUUUUAGAAGAAGGCACCAGCUGGUUCUCCAAUGUUGAAGGUCUUCUCCAGAGAUGGGCAUGCAGAAGGAGUGAAAAAACAAGAAGGAAGACAAGGAAGACAUUGUUUUGGCUGCUGACAUUUCCUGAAAGAUCUGAGGCGUCCCCUUCACUUCGGGCAUGGGACCCAGACGGCUGAGUGAUGGACCUUAAGGUGUGGGGAGAUUACAACUUGCUCAAGGUCUCAUAGCUAGAAGAUGUCAGAGUGAUAACUCAAACCAUGUCACAUGACUCUAAGCCCAAAGCAGCCUCUAGAAGGUUGUUUGAUCUUCUGAUGGAAGCACAAAUCACCAUUCCAACAUGAAAGAUGGAGAAACUUAAGUCUAGAGAGAUUUAAAGGACUUGUCAAAGGCAAUGAAACAAGUGAUGAGGAAACUGAGGCCCAGAGAGGAUAAAUGACUUGCUCAAGGUUAGCCAGUUGGUCAAUGGCAAAGAUUAAACCAGAACCCAGAUCUCCUCUCUCCAGCCAGAGUCUUCAAGCAAAGUCCCUAGGAGGUCAAGCCAACUCUUGCUGCUGCUGCUAAUCUAAGGACAGAUGUGGCCACUUUCUCCAAAGGAUCUCAGAGAGCUAACUUUAUGGCGUUUUACAGAAGUCCUAUCUUUCCUUCAGGGGAACCCCAUUCAUUUGCAAGAUGGAAGGCUAUUUUUAGCAUUGACUUUUAUUUUCUCCUAAGUGACUUCCUCUCUCAUGUACCAUUUGGCCUUCACAGUGGCUGAAAAGACAGUUCCUAGGAAAAUCUAGAACAUUUAAGCUUGCGUGUGUUGCAGUUCUUAGAACUCUGAAAGCCACAUGUUGAGAUGGCCCCAUUACAGGAUGGAGAGCACCUGAACCCCCAAGUUAUGGACUAGAAGAAGACAGUUGCCCUGGAAAAUCAUCUGACCCACAUUGGACUUUAUGUGAGGGGGAAAUAAACCUUUAUUAUGUUAAGCUACACAAUAAUAAAUAACAACAAUAA